This is a long non-coding RNA of Vitis vinifera (wine grape), 1238 nucleotides long. RefSeq lists it as uncharacterized. The record is from RefSeq and is a predicted model, not a curated record. Lineage: Eukaryota; Viridiplantae; Streptophyta; Magnoliopsida; Vitales; Vitaceae. The transcript has 2 exons.
GCAGAUUUUCUUUGUAAACUCUCUCCCUUUUCUUCAGAAACAACUAACAUACCGAAACCGAGCAUUUCCUUCUACUUGCUACUAUUUGUAUUCAUCUUUCUAUUUGAUGGCUCGAGGUAAUCAAUCCAACGCGUGUGCUGUGGUUAGAUAUUUCGAGUCGUCACCAAUGGAGGAUUCUGGUAGCCCAUUUUAUCUUCAUAAUGGAAACCAUCCUGGGCUUGUUCUUGUCUCGCACCCUUUGACUGGGGACAAUUACAACACCUAGAGUAGAGCCAUGAUGAUGGCUUUGACGGCAAAGAACAAAGUCGUUUUUGUCGUGGCGUCUUAAUUUCAUUUCUAAAGAAAUGGCGGAUAGUUUGAUGUACAGUGGGACACCUUGUGAGAUCUGGAAUGAUCUGAGGGAUAUUUUUCAAUUAAAGAAACAUCCGAUCGCUUCAUAUAGUUUUUUAUGGGUUUGAACGACUUUUAUGCUUAGACACGUGGUCAAAUUUUGAUGAUGGAGCCUAUUCCACCACUCACGAAAGAACGUCAAAGAACCAUUAAUAAUGGAAUUUCCCCUUUGUCUGAUUCUAUUGUUCUAAGUGAAUCAAAUUUGACUUCGGCUAAUGCUAACACUGGUAAUUUUGCCUCUAAAGGGAAGCGCCAGCGUCCCCAAUGCACUCACUGUGGGCUCCAAGGUCAUUCUAUUCACAAGUGCUAUAAGCUACAUGGAUAUCCACCGGGAUAUAAACCCAAAUUGCAUAAUGCACUAGGUCAUGCUCACACUAAUCAGGCCUCUAUUCUCUCUAAUGACUCAACUCCUUCUGAAUCAAUGUUGGGCAAUCUCUCUUCCACUCAAUGUCAACAGCUUAUAGCCCUAUUGAGUUCCCAGCUACAGUGCAACUCAACUGCCUUAAUGGAAUCACAACCACAGGAAAGUCCUUCUGUGUCUUGUUUUAGUGGACCGUAUGCAAAGGAAGAUGAUUGGGAUGGGUAGAUGCAGUGGCAAUCUCUAUGUUUUGGAUCCUACCAACCUUUUUCCUAUAUCUUCUAGUGUCACAGUUGUUUGUAAUUAUGCCUCAAAGACGGAACACGAGCUUUGGCAUUACCGUCUGUGUCAUCUCUCUUAUAAUAGGCUCAAUUCAUUGAAAGAUGUAUUAAAUCUGAAACAAUUUGUUAGCCACCAUUUUCAUUGUUCAAUUUGUCAUUUAGCUAAACAAAAGAGUUUGUCAUUUCCAAUUUCAAAUACAGUUUCAUCA